AGAAGCGACCUCGCGAGAGCAAGCGGACCUCAUAAAGUGCGUCGUAGUCCGGAUUGGAGUCUGCAACUCGACUCCAUGAAGUCGGAAUCGCUAGUAAUCGUGGAUCAGAAUGCCACGGUGAAUACGUUCCCGGGCCUUGUACACACCGCCCGUCACACCAUGGGAGUGGGUUGCAAAAGAAGUAGGUAGCUUAACCUUCGGGAGGGCGCUUACCACUUUGUGAUUCAUGACUGGGGUGAAGUCGUAACAAGGUAACCGUAGGGGAACCUGCGGUUGGAUCACCUCCUUACCUUAAAGAA
RNAcentral lists this ribosomal RNA (299 nucleotides) under Salmonella enterica subsp. enterica serovar Derby. Its description in RNAcentral is "partial 16S ribosomal RNA". It matches the Rfam family "Bacterial small subunit ribosomal RNA", at positions 1245 to 1533 of the family's 1533-position model. The record is from RNAcentral. Lineage: Bacteria; Pseudomonadati; Pseudomonadota; Gammaproteobacteria; Enterobacterales; Enterobacteriaceae. RNAcentral also lists the same sequence under 4 other names.